CCUCAAAUUGGUUGCAGCUACAAGAAGACAUCUGCCCUCUAUAAGAAAAUCCAUGUGAAGACUAGCACAGAUCAGGGACUUGGAGGUGCUAGCCCGCAAGUAACUUUGACAGCUGAUCUCUUUCUUUUUCUUCAAGCACCUUGGACACUCCAAAGGAUGAAGAGAUCUAGAGGAGGAAGAGAGGAGAAGGAGAAGAGCUAUGAAAAAAUAAAACUAGCAAGGGGAGAGAGGUAUGAUGUCGAGAACAAGGGACCCUUUUUUAUAGGC
RNAcentral lists this long non-coding RNA (267 nucleotides) under Elaeis guineensis (African oil palm). Its description in RNAcentral is "long non-coding RNA (EGUI_LNC036566)". The record is from RNAcentral. Lineage: Eukaryota; Viridiplantae; Streptophyta; Magnoliopsida; Arecales; Arecaceae.